Molecule: non-coding RNA, 40 nt
Organism: Fukomys damarensis (Damara mole-rat)
Lineage: Eukaryota; Metazoa; Chordata; Mammalia; Rodentia; Bathyergidae
Source: Rfam
CCAUGGCGGAGGCUGGGGCCAGCCCCAUGGCGGAGGCUGG